Molecule: ribosomal RNA, 440 nt
Filed under: uncultured bacterium
Lineage: Bacteria
Description: partial 16S ribosomal RNA
Rfam family: Bacterial small subunit ribosomal RNA
Source: RNAcentral
CCUACGGGAGGCAGCAGUGGGGAAUAUUGCACAAUGGGGGAAACCCUGAUGCAGCAACGCCGCGUGAGCGAUGAAGGCCUUCGGGUCGUAAAGCUCUGUCCUAAGGGAAGAAUACUGACGGUACCUUAGGAGGAAGCCCCGGCUAACUACGUGCCAGCAGCCGCGGUAAUACGUAGGGGGCUAGCGUUAUCCGGAAUUACUGGGCGUAAAGGGUGCGUAGGCGGCCCUUCAAGUCAGAGGUGAAAGGCUACGGCUCAACUGUAGUAAGCCUUUGAAACUGUCUUACUAGGGUGCAGGAGAGAAAAGCGGAAGUCCGAGGGUAGCGGUGAAAUGGGUAGAGAGUAGGAAGAACACCAGGGGCGAAGGCGGCUUUGUGGACUGUAACUGACGCUGAGGCACGAAAGCGGGGGGAGCGAACAGGAUUAGAUACCCUAGUAGUG